CCUACGGGAGGCAGCAGUGGGGGAUAUUGCACAAUGGGCGAAAGCCUGAUGCAGCAACGCCGCGUGAGGGAAGACGGUUUUCGGAUUGUAAACCUCUGUAUUCGGUGAAGAAACAAAUGACGGUAGCCGAGGAGGAAGCCACGGCUAACUACGUGCCAGCAGCCGCGGUAAUACGUAGGUGGCAAGCGUUGUCCGGAAUUACUGGGUGUAAAGGGAGCGCAGGCGGGGAGACAAGUCAGCUGUGAAAACUAUGGGCUUAACCCAUAAACUGCAGUUGAAACUGUUUUUCUUGAGUGGAGUAGAGGUAGGCGGAAUUCCGAGUGUAGCGGUGAAAUGCGUAGAUAUUCGGAGGAACACCAGUGGCGAAGGCGGCCUACUGGGCUCUAACUGACGCUGAGGCUCGAAA
This 406-nucleotide ribosomal RNA is filed under the name uncultured bacterium. RNAcentral's name for it is "bacterial SSU rRNA". It matches the Rfam family "Bacterial small subunit ribosomal RNA", at positions 338 to 758 of the family's 1533-position model. The record is from RNAcentral.